Molecule: long non-coding RNA, 1994 nt
Filed under: Gallus gallus (chicken)
Lineage: Eukaryota; Metazoa; Chordata; Aves; Galliformes; Phasianidae
Description: lncRNA (ENSGALG00010026502.1)
Source: RNAcentral
GAUUUCUUUCCGGCAGUCAGUCCUUUUGGUGUUUUCUGCUGCAAGCCGAAGGCAUGAGAAUUCAGCAGUGUUAAACCUUGAGGUACUGGGACAUAAACGUACAGCCCAAAAAACAUGACAGAACAAGUAAGAAAGAAGAAGGAAGGAAGGAAAAGGAAGGAAAAAAGAAAAAGGAAACAAAAAGAACAUAGGAAAGAAUACAGAAAAAAACAUCAGAAAAAAAAAUGGGAGGAAAAGAACAGAAAAGAAAACAAUGGGACAAGAGGGGGAAAAAAAAAAGAAAGAAAAAGAAGGAAAGAAACUUGGAAAAAGACAAUUCCAGUAUACUUCCUGAAAGGAUUUUCAGUAAAAGACUAAUAAGCCAUAUACUGCGACAGUACUGUAAGUCAGAGGAAGAAGGCUAUGAAAUGGAGUGGGCAGCUACACACAUCAGGACCACUAAGGAGAAAGUGGUUCUGGACUCAUGGCAUCAGGUCACUCAAGCAGCGGAAUGAGAUGGCCAAAGGCUGUGCAGUCUCCAGCCAUGGAGGUUUCAAGAUCAGACCAGUUAGAGACCUAAGUAACUUGGUCUGACAUUAGAACUGAUCCUGUUUUGAGGAGAGGGUUAGACUAGAGACCUCCUGAGAUCUCUUUCAACCUUUAACGAUGAUACUAUAUUUCUGGAGGAAGCCUUCCCAAAUUGGAUAUAAGCGAGAUAUUAAGCUACAUCUUUAUGAAGAGACUAUUCAGAUCUCUGAUCCACUCACUUUUUCCCUACUUUGAUACUAGCUGUCUUCUACUGGUAGAAUUCUGAGUGUAACAGGAGGUAUGCAUUCAUUUCAAUGUCUUUUAAUACUUAUCCGAAAGAAUAAUUACCACUUGAAAUUCUUGGAGAUGUUAUGUUGUAGGUUUUUCCUUAGACAUGAAUACCUUUUUUCUGAAGAUGUAUUAUUUAAUACAUAGACUAAAGGAUAUACACUUGUCUCUGCUACUAAUAUGUAUCAUCUAUUCUUUAUAUGUGGCGUUAGACUUAACCAAUUUUCUCUAAAAUACAUCCAAGACAGAUCUAAGUUCAUUCUGGGCUUAGGUUUACGCUCUAUAUAUACUAGCUUACAGAAACCCUGGUUAGCCAGAAUUUUUACAAUUAGAGCUUGUCUCUUUCUGUGGGCAUUGAACCAGACCUAUUGCACUGAUUGCUGUGGUUUUACCUGGCAGGUGAGUGAGCACCAUGCAGUGGUUUGCUCACUGCCCUCCUUCCCUGUGUGAUGGGGGAAAAAAUCAGGAAAAAAGAAAAAAGAAAUAGAAUUUGUGGGCUUGUGGGUUGAGAUAAAACUAUUUACUAAGAUAGAGAAAAGGAUAAUAGUUAUGACUGUAUGUAUAUGUGUGAAUGUAAAUAACAGGGGAUGCAGAAGCACUUGCUCACCACCCCUUGACCAAUGCUCAGCUAGUCCUCCAAGCGGCGUAAGAGAGAGAGAUGAAUGCCCACUCCCUUCAAAAUUUCUUCUGCUUGGUAUAGUAUGGAAUAUCCCUUGGGUCAGUUUGUGUCAGCUGUCCUAAUUCUGUUCCAUCCCUUCUCCUUGGGCCCUUUGCUGAGAAUGGCCUUGGUUCUCUGUACAACCCUGCUUAGCAGCAACUAUAAACAUUGGUGUGUUAUCAGCAUUGUUUUUCUCCUGGAACCAAUACACAGCAUCAUACAUUAGACACCCUAAAGAAAACAACUCUGUCCCAGCUGAAAGUGAGGCACUGAUUCACUGACCAGUAGUUUUUACACUGAAAUACAGAAGUUACUCAUUCAUAAAGGAGGCAGGAGAGAACAAUCUGCUGUCUUUGUGUAAAUUCAUCAUCACUUUACAUUGGAACAUGGGAUUUUGCCAGUAGUUUGCUAUUUGGUUUUGUGCAAUGAUAUCUGUGUAUCUAACUGCUGAGUGUACUGAACAAUUGUGUUAUUGUAAUGGUUAAAUUGCUCCUAGAGGCCUAUUUAAGCCUGAUAAAAAUUAUAAAUGAAUAAAUUAAAC